AGAGCUAUAGCUAAUGGCAAGCGGACAGUCUCCAAAACUGUUAAUCUGGGUUCGAAUCCUAGUGGCUCUG
Molecule: transfer RNA, 70 nt
Filed under: Lactobacillus hominis
Lineage: Bacteria; Bacillati; Bacillota; Bacilli; Lactobacillales; Lactobacillaceae
Description: tRNA-Trp
Rfam family: tRNA
About the family: Transfer RNA (tRNA) molecules are approximately 80 nucleotides in length. Their secondary structure includes four short double-helical elements and three loops (D, anti-codon, and T loops).
Source: RNAcentral